GGUAGAGGGAGGGUAUUUCUUUUCAUGCUUGAUCAUCCACGACAAAGGAGAAAGAGAGUUUUGGAAGAGAAUGGCGCAAGUGAUGGUGAUGGCAACAGCUUCCGGGAAGAGUUUGCUCGCUCAUGGGCUUCAUUCUGAGCAGCGCCUUCGGAUUCGAUGCUCCAGCUCGAGCAGUGACGAAGAAUCGUCGUCGCCCAGCACAAGUGGGAGGAGCAAAUUGGGGAGAGUGAUCUUCUCAGCAAUCGCAGCUGGAAUUCUUCUCGCAGCUCCAUCUUCAUCUGAUCCUGCCGACACCGUCGCCAUCGCAGCUCCCUCUGGCGGUAGAAUUGGAGGUCAGUCCUUCCGUUCCGCUCCAAGAAUGGCGCCAAGAGUGGCUCCACCGCCAAGAUCAGCUCCUCCUCCUCGAUCCGGCCCCAGAAUCAACAAUUCCAGGACAAACAUCUACGUGAAUCCUGGCUAUGGCUAUGGCGGCUAUGGGAAUCCAUUCUUCGGUGGCGGAUGGGGAUUGUCCCCAUUCUCGUUCUUCGCUCCGCCCGCUCCGGCAGUGGCUGUAGGCGUCGGUGGAUUCGAUUUCGUUCCAUUGCUGCUGGGAUUACUGGCCGUGGGAUGGAUCUCUAGGGUUCUUCGCAACAGGAGAGACGAGGACGAAGGAGAUGAUUACUAGUAAACAGAAAUUUUUGUAUUAUAAUCGCGUAAAUAUCUGACGGUCAAUAUAAGCUCAAAUGGAAGGCUGUCGUUAGCGCUACGUGGCGGCAUCCGAAUGGUGCUAGGCUUGGAUCCAUCGUGGCCGUUGCUACGCUCUAUCCAUUUGAGGGAUUAUUGUGGCGGGCGUGGAGGAGGAGAGGCGAGGCGCGCGAUCUUCGACCAGCGCCCAGGCGCGGCAAGAGAUCGAGAGCAGUGAUUCCAUCCCGCCAGGGUUUUAGGGUUUAUCGGGCAUGGCGUGCUGCACGGCAGUCACGUCCUCGGCAGCGGCAGCGAGCGGCACCACUUUCCAGGCCGCCAAGCCUUCGAUUACCCCCUCCCGGUCGCCAGUGGCUCUAGGAUUCGGCUUCUCACACUCGCAACAGAGCUUCCACCAGGCAUUGCAAGCCGAGAUUUUCAGAGAGCGUGUCCCCGGGCGGAGGUCCUCUUCCUCGCUGGUGGUCCGCGCGGCAAAGGGGAAAUUCGAGAGGAAGAAGCCGCACGUCAACAUCGGCACAAUCGGGCAUGUGGAUCACGGCAAGACCACCUUGACAGCGGCGCUAACUUUCAUUGGAAUCGGUGGUGGAAAGCCCAAGAAGUAUGACGAGAUCGACGCUGCUCCGGAGGAGAAAGCUCGCGGGAUCACCAUCAACACGGCGUGCGUGGAGUAUGAGAGCGAGGAGCGGCACUACGCUCACGUCGAUUGCCCCGGCCAUGCCGACUACGUCAAGAACAUGAUCACUGGAGCAGCGCAGAUGGACGGGGCCAUCCUGGUCGUGUCUGGAGCCGAUGGGCCGAUGCCACAGACGAAAGAACACGUCCUCCUGGCCAAGCAAGUCGGGGUGCCGAGCAUGGUCGUGUUCCUCAACAAGCAGGACAUGGUGGACGACGAGGAGCUCCUCCAGCUCGUGGAGCUCGAGGUCCGCGAGCUUCUCAACUCGUACGAGUUCCCGGGAGACGACGUCCCCGUGGUAUCUGAUCAGCUCUCACGCUCUCACGGCGCUGACGAGCAACAAGGAGAUCAAGCGAGGGGACGAUAAGUGGGUGGACAAGAUCUACGAGCUCCGGGACGCGGUGGACAAGUACAUCCCGAUUCCUCCACGGCAGACCGACCUCCCGUUCCUCAUGGCGAUCGAGGACGUGUUUUCGAUCACCGGGCGUGGAACUGUGGCCACGGGACGGGUCGAGAGGGGCACCGUCAAGGUUGGCGAGGUGGUCGAGAUCGUUGGCCUGGGCGAUACGAGGAACACGACGGUGACCGGGUGCGAGAUGUUCAAGAAGGAGCUGGAUGAGGCACUGGCUGGCGAUAACUGUGGAUUGCUCUUGAGAGGCAUCCAAAAGGCGGACAUCCAGAGGGGAAUGGUGCUCGCCAAGCCCGGAUCGAUCCAGCCGUUUAGCAAGUUCGAGGCGCAAGUCUACGUGCUCAAGAAGGAAGAAGGUGGACGCCACUCGCCAUUCUUCUGUGGCUACAGGCCCCAGUUCUACAUGAGAACGACGGACGUGACGGGCAAGGUGAUCGAGGUGACCGGUGAGAAAGGGGAGGAAUCCAAGAUGGUGAUGCCGGGUGAUCGCGUCAACAUGAAGGUGGAUCUCAUCACCCCGAUCGCGUGCGAGAAGAAGAUGAGAUUUGCGAUUCGCGAGGGUGGCAAGACCGUCGGUGCUGGAGUGAUCCUCAACGUUAUGAAGGAGUGAGUUGAUUCAAUGGAGGUGGAGAGGUAUGCAGGUCUGUGUCAUUCUUCCAGUAUUUUUCCAGUUACUAAGGUCAAGAGCAAGGCAGGCAUUGGCGAGUUUUUGGGAAAGUAAUCAAAGAACUAGUGUUCGUCCAAGGGUCAAAAAUUAGUCGAAACUAGUCAAUGUUAACUGUUGGACAGUGAGAAUAUUCUAAUGAUUCAUGUGCAAGAA
RNA transcript from Selaginella moellendorffii, 2583 nucleotides. It is a transcript of the gene named elongation factor Tu, with no coding region annotated. The record is from RefSeq and is a predicted model, not a curated record. The transcript has 4 exons. Lineage: Eukaryota; Viridiplantae; Streptophyta; Lycopodiopsida; Selaginellales; Selaginellaceae.